CUCGUCUUCAGCAGGAGCGCGUGCAAUGAUGCUCGAUUCCUUGACCCUGAACUCAUAAACCUGCAGGAACAAAGGAAGGAGAACACAAGUUCAUCAGGAACUUUCCCCUACAAACUCAAGUUCAAAGAUAAAACGAGGUCUUCGUGCCGAUGAGCCGUGCAAUGGCGCAGAAGUUGUCGUAGUAAGUCCCGAUGAGAACCCUAAAGAGAGAAGCUUCUGCUCCACUCCAGUCCACAGCUUCAGCCUCCACACUCAGCUUCAUCUUCACUGGAGUCUGACACCACGGAGGGGGUGCUGGGCCGGCCGUUUGGCAGUCGUCCGCGGCGACGACCCACGGAGCGUUUGGAGGGCGUCUUGA
This is a long non-coding RNA of Notothenia coriiceps (black rockcod), 358 nucleotides long. RefSeq lists it as uncharacterized. Lineage: Eukaryota; Metazoa; Chordata; Actinopteri; Perciformes; Nototheniidae. The record is from RefSeq and is a predicted model, not a curated record. The transcript is spliced from 3 exons.